ACAAAAACGAGAUUUCAUCAAACGUUUCGUGCCGGAAAAAUGUAUGGUUGUAAAUUUGGACACUAAAGGUUGCCCGUCCUUGCGACUAUUGGCUCGUUGGUCGACAGCAGAUACGUGUCCUAUAGUACAUCCAUUCUGCGCUUUGUCGAACGCAUUCCGAUUGUGUAUGUGGUUGUCGGAUUCCUUUUAUCGGGAAUAUUUCAAAGAUGAAAUCAUGCAGGAGCAGGAGAGAAUUAUAGUGGCAGACGAAAAAGUGAAAUCAUCCGUGCUUAAUAUAGCAGACAAAUUGUCGAAUCAUCCCGACUUAAUAUAGCACACAAAUUGUUUCACUCGAAAUAUAGCAGACGAAAAAUGAAAUCAAUCGUGGUUAAUAUAGCAGACACAUUGUCGAAUCAUCCCGCUUUAAUAUAGCACACAAAUUUGUUUCGCUCGAAAUAUAGCAGACGAAAAGUGGAAUCAUCCGCAGACAAAUUUGUUUCACUCGAAAUAUAGGAGACGAAAAGUAUCCGUGUUUAAUAUAGCAGACAAAUUGUUUCACUUGAAAUAUAGCACACGAAAAGUGGAAUCAUCCGUACCUUGAAAGAAUUGACGAUAGCCACCAUCAUGGACGUUUUCAACAAUUCAGUCUUGUGUGAGGAGAUGCGAAAGUUUCCAUGAUCAGAUCGGUCAUGAUCGGAAAUGACCGGUCAAGUUCGCUGGAUGACGAUUGCAGCGUCGAAUCAGAGCGGCCAGGGAGUGCGCACGCGCAGAGGAGAGGAAAGCGCGAGAGAGCUUCAGAGCAGAGCGCGAGGAGUCACGGAUUUCAGUGUUGUUUGAACGGUCACUUGGUGCGUGGACCUCUUGGUGCCACGCUCAAACCCGAGUUGAUUGAACCGAUGCUCCAUGAUUUUCUAGUCCUUAGAUGCUAGUGUUUCUGUAGCUGUGCUGAUCUUAUGCAAGAAAAUCAUUCAAAUUUGGAAACCGCAUCAUUACACUUGAUUGUCAACUCUAAAGAGUUGAGUGUAAACGCUCGCUACAAGAUGAACAAACUCAUCAAAAUUCCAUCCAAGUACGGGAUAACCGUUGCCGCUGAUAUCAUCUUCGAGAAUCAUCAUCGUCUACUCUUCCUCCCUUCACACAUUGCGGACCGUUUGACGGACGAUGCAAUUCAGGAUAUCAACGCUGGAUCCUUCGAUCUCAUCUACGAAGGUCCGGUCGGAAGAACACACAAAUUCGCACUGGUUCCAAACGUUGCAGCUUGAUUUAUAUUGUAUGUAUUAUUGUAUUCUUUUCGAAAUGAUGUAAUGAUUGAAAAAAAAAUGUGACAUGUUUGUUAUUGAAUGAAAAAAUAAAUAAAUAAAUAUAUAUUUUUUUUUAAAUUUUUGCUCAAGAUCAAUCCAAUUGCCUCACGGUUCCGUGCAGUAGUUCGUACGAAUACUUCACAGGUGUGAUCACGAUCACCUGGGCUGUAGUGUUGGCCGGGAAAUUCUCUUUUGCCACAACGGUCAACGUGAUAUCCACCGGAGCUGUUUUUAGAUCUUCACCUUGGACGCAUUUGAUGACGAAAAUCGCGCGUUUUUUGAAAUUUUCAAACAACAUAGGUGGCUCGCAGAGUUUCUCACCUUUCCAGUAGUCUCUCAUAAAAUCGGU
RNAcentral lists this long non-coding RNA (1629 nucleotides) under Bemisia tabaci. Its description in RNAcentral is "lncRNA ENSSSA3NGG007755". The record is from RNAcentral. Lineage: Eukaryota; Metazoa; Arthropoda; Insecta; Hemiptera; Aleyrodidae.